GCGAAAUGACGAUAAGAUUCACUGCUCAAUAAUUCACUGAAUUCUGUGAUGUUACUUUCGAAUCUCGACAGGUUCCGAUCGC
Molecule: small nucleolar RNA, 82 nt
Organism: Papaver somniferum (opium poppy)
Lineage: Eukaryota; Viridiplantae; Streptophyta; Magnoliopsida; Ranunculales; Papaveraceae
Product: small nucleolar RNA snoR14
Exons: 1
Source: RefSeq, a predicted model, not a curated record